Neopelma chrysocephalum (saffron-crested tyrant-manakin) is the source of this 617-nucleotide long non-coding RNA. RefSeq lists it as uncharacterized. NCBI's taxonomy places the organism in Eukaryota, Metazoa, Chordata, Aves, Passeriformes, Pipridae. The record is from RefSeq and is a predicted model, not a curated record. The transcript has 3 exons.
GUCUCUUCCCCUGGGGGGACGCAGGGGGGCUGUGCAUUCCUGCCCAGUGCCAGCACUCAACCGCUUGUCCCAGUGCCACCUCCAGGCUCACGCUCCAUUGAUUUCCCCUGGCAUGGUGCCAAGGGGACACAAAGUGACCCCAUCACAGCCACCUCCUCUGCCCCGUCCCCACAUCCCCCCCUCCCUGGACGAGGUCCCAUGUGAUUCGCCAAGGAUACUGCCACGUUGUGGGACAGCUUCAGGUUGGUGGAGAUGGCCGACAAGUUGGGGCAGAAGCUGGAAAGGCAGAGAAGGAGGUGGAGGGGGUUGACGGGGCUGCUCGGGGACCACGGGGCUCCCGCUCGCCCUGGGGACUGUCCCCUCCUCUGCGGGGCCACUCACAACUUCUCUGCUGUCACACCGAGGAUGAUGAACAGCCUCCACCCAAUCCCGGCUAUGGGAAGGCGCCGGCCUGGCAGGCGGCGAGGUUUUAGGAGGAGAAAACCAGCAGCGGAGGAAAUCCUGGCCAAAUUUGGGUGCUUGCCGCGUGCCCCUGUGCUCCCCUCUUGGCUUCUGCACCCACGAGUGGCCGCGUCCGGGUGCCCGGGGUGGUCUCACACAGCGCUGAGCACAGGAGC